Molecule: ribosomal RNA, 334 nt
Filed under: uncultured Bacillota bacterium
Lineage: Bacteria; Bacillati; Bacillota
Description: bacterial SSU rRNA
Rfam family: Bacterial small subunit ribosomal RNA
Source: RNAcentral
GAUGAACGCUGGCGGCGUGCCUAACACAUGCAAGUCGAGCGGAAAUUCCGGAAGUAGUAAUACGGAAGGGAUUUUAGCGGCGGACGGGUGAGUAACACGUGAGUAAUCUGCCUCUUGCAGGGGAAUAACAUUGUGAAAACAGUGCUAAUACCGCAUAACGUCCGACCGGGGCAUCCCGGACGGACCAAAGGAGAAAUCCGGCAGGAGAUGAACUCGCGUCCGAUUAGCUAGUUGGUGGGGUAAAGGCCUACCAAGGCGACGAUCGGUAGCCGAACUGAGAGGUUGAUCGGCCACAUUGGGACUGAGACACGGCCCAGACUCCUACGGGAGGCAG